This 1445-nucleotide ribosomal RNA is filed under the name Klebsiella pneumoniae. RNAcentral describes it as "bacterial SSU rRNA". It matches the Rfam family "Bacterial small subunit ribosomal RNA". Lineage: Bacteria; Pseudomonadati; Pseudomonadota; Gammaproteobacteria; Enterobacterales; Enterobacteriaceae. The record is from RNAcentral.
GGAUUGGGCGGCAGCUACACAUGCAAGUCGAGCGGUAGCACAGAGAGCUUGCUCUCGGGUGACGAGCGGCGGACGGGUGAGUAAUGUCUGGGAAACUGCCUGAUGGAGGGGGAUAACUACUGGAAACGGUAGCUAAUACCGCAUAAUGUCGCAAGACCAAAGUGGGGGACCUUCGGGCCUCAUGCCAUCAGAUGUGCCCAGAUGGGAUUAGCUAGUAGGUGGGGUAACGGCUCACCUAGGCGACGAUCCCUAGCUGGUCUGAGAGGAUGACCAGCCACACUGGAACUGAGACACGGUCCAGACUCCUUACGGGAGGCAGCAGUGGGGAAUAUUGCACAAUGGGCGCAAGCCUGAUGCAGCCAUGCCGCGUGUGUGAAGAAGGCCUUCGGGUUGUAAAGCACUUUCAGCGGGGAGGAAGGCGGUGAGGUUAAUAACCUCAUCGAUUGACGUUACCCGCAGAAGAAGCACCGGCUAACUCCGUGCCAGCAGCCGCGGUAAUACGGAGGGUGCAAGCGUUAAUCGGAAUUACUGGGCGUAAAGCGCACGCAGGCGGUCUGUCAAGUCGGAUGUGAAAUCCCCGGGCUCAACCUGGGAACUGCAUUCGAAACUGGCAGGCUAGAGUCUUGUAGAGGGGGGUAGAAUUCCAGGUGUAGCGGUGAAAUGCGUAGAGAUCUGGAGGAAUACCGGUGGCGAAGGCGGCCCCCUGGACAAAGACUGACGCUCAGGUGCGAAAGCGUGGGGAGCAAACAGGAUUAGAUACCCUGGUAGUCCACGCCGUAAACGAUGUCGAUUUGGAGGUUGUGCCCUUGAGGCGUGGCUUCCGGAGCUAACGCGUUAAAUCGACCGCCUGGGGAGUACGGCCGCAAGGUUAAAACUCAAAUGAAUUGACGGGGGCCCGCACAAGCGGUGGAGCAUGUGGUUUAAUUCGAUGCAACGCGAAGAACCUUACCUGGUCUUGACAUCCACAGAACUUACCAGAGAUGCAUUGGUGCCUUCGGGAACUGUGAGACAGGUGCUGCAUGGCUGUCGUCAGCUCGUGUUGUGAAAUGUUGGGUUAAGUCCCGCAACGAGCGCAACCCUUAUCCUUUGUUGCCAGCGGUUAGGCCGGGAACUCAAAGGAGACUGCCAGUGAUAAACUGGAGGAAGGUGGGGAUGACGUCAAGUCAUCAUGGCCCUUACGACCAGGGCUACACACGUGCUACAAUGGCAUAUACAAAGAGAAGCGACCUCGCGAGAGCAAGCGGACCUCAUAAAGUAUGUCGUAGUCCGGAUUGGAGUCUGCAACUCGACUCCAUGAAGUCGGAAUCGCUAGUAAUCGUAGAUCAGAAUGCUACGGUGAAUACGUUCCCGGGCCUUGUACACACCGCCCGUCACACCAUGGGAGUGGGUUGCAAAAGAAGUAGGUAGCUUAACCUUCGGGAGGGCGCUACCACUUUGAUCAGCUG